RNAcentral lists this ribosomal RNA (1497 nucleotides) under metagenome. RNAcentral's name for it is "bacterial SSU rRNA". It matches the Rfam family "Bacterial small subunit ribosomal RNA". The record is from RNAcentral.
UGCUCAGAACGGACGCUGGCGACGUGGCUAAGACAUGCAAGUCGAACGGACUGGUCAAUUUAUUGAACAGUUAGUGGCGAAAGGGUUAGUAACGGGUAGGUAACGUGCCCUGUGCUUCGGGAUAGCGUCAGUCCCUUCGGGGACUUUCCGAAAGGGGCGGUAAUACCGGAUAAUAUCAUUUGUUGAUAGGCAGAUGAUCAAAGAUUUAUCGGCGCGGGAGCGGCCUGCCUCCUAUCAGCUUGUUGGUGGGGUAACGGCUCACCAAGGCAACGACGGGUAGCGGGACUGAGAGGUUGACCCGCAACAUCGGGACUGAGACACUGCCCGGACCUCCACGGAGGGCUGCAGUAACGGAUAUUGUGCAAUGGGCGAAAGCCUGACACAGCGACGCCGCGUGUAGGAGGAAGUCCCUCGGGAUGUAAACUACUGUCAGGGGUAAGAAAGUGCGCUCCGGCGUAUUGAUCUAACCCAGAGGAAGUCACGGCUAACUUCGUGCCAGCAGCCGCGGUAAGACGAAGGUGGCAAGCGUUGUUCGGUAUUACUGGGCUUAAAGCGUGUGUAGGCGGAAAAGUAAGCGUCUUGUGAAAGCCCCCGGCUUAACCGGGGAAUUGCGUGACGAACUGCUUUUCUUGAGGCAAGUAGGGGUGCAUGGAACUCUUGGUGGAGCGGUGGAAUGCGUAGAUAUCAAGAGGAACGCCAGUGGAGAAAUCGGUGCACUGGGCUUGUCCUGACGCUGAGACACGAAAGCGUGGGGAGCGAACGGGAUUAGAUACCCCGGUAGUCCACGCCGUAAACGAUGCCUACUAGGUUGUGGUGGUUCUGACACCAGCACAGCCGAAGCAAAAGUGCUAAGUAGGCCGCCUGGGGAGUACGGUCGCAAGGCUAAAACUCAAAGGAAUUGACGGGGGCUCACACAAGCGGUGGAGCAUGUGGAUUAAUUCGAAUCAACGCGUAGAACCUUACCUGGGUUUGACAUGCUUGGAUGCUUGCCUGGAAACAGGUAGUUACCUUCGGGUGAAACUUGCACAGGUGCUGCAUGGCUGUCGUCAGCUCGUGUCGUGAGAUGUCGGGUUAAGUCCUUUAACGAGCGAAACCCUUACCGUUAGUUGCCAGCGGGUCAUGCCGGGGAUCUAGCGGGACUGCCGGUGUCAAACCGGAGGAAGGCGGGGACGACGUCAAGUCAUCAUGGCCUUUAUGCCCAGGGCCUCACACGUGCUACAAUGGCGAUCACAAAGCGACGCAAGACCGCGAGGUGGAGCAAAUCGCAUAAAGGUCGCCCCAGUUCGGAUUGUAGGCUGGCAACUCGCCUGCAUGAAGUCGGAAUCGCUAGUAAUCGCGUAUCAGCUAUGACGCGGUGAAUGUGUUCCCGAGCCUUGUACACACCGCCCGUCAAGUGAUGGGAGUUGGGAGUACCCGAAGUCGGUUUGCUAACCUAAUUUAUUAGGAAGCGGCUGCCGACGGUAAGCCCGAUGACUGGCACUAAGUCGUAACAAGGUA